GACGAACGCUGGCGGCGUGCUUAACACAUGCAAGUCGAACGGAAAGGCCCUGCUUUUGUGGGGUGCUCGAGUGGCGAACGGGUGAGUAACACGUGAGUAACCUGCCCUUGACUUUGGGAUAACUUCAGGAAACUGGGGCUAAUACCGGAUAGGAGCUCCUGCUGCAUGGUGGGGGUUGGAAAGUUUCGGCGGUUGGGGAUGGACUCGCGGCUUAUCGGCUUGUUGGUGGGGUAGUGGCUUACCAAGGCUUUGACGGGUAGCCGGCCUGAGAGGGUGACCGGCAAAAUUGGGACUGAGAUACGGCCCGGACUCCAACGGGAGGCAGCAGUGGGAAAUAUUGCACAAGGGGCGGAAGCCUGAUGCAGCAACGCCGCGGGCGGGAUGACGGCCUUCGGGUUGUAAACCGCUUUCGCCUGGGACGAAGCGUGAGUGACGGUAAUGGGUAAAGAAGCACCGGCUAACUACGUG
RNAcentral lists this ribosomal RNA (468 nucleotides) under uncultured bacterium. Its description in RNAcentral is "partial 16S ribosomal RNA". It matches the Rfam family "Bacterial small subunit ribosomal RNA", at positions 28 to 507 of the family's 1533-position model. The record is from RNAcentral.